RNAcentral lists this ribosomal RNA (497 nucleotides) under uncultured bacterium. RNAcentral describes it as "partial 16S ribosomal RNA". It matches the Rfam family "Bacterial small subunit ribosomal RNA", at positions 28 to 507 of the family's 1533-position model. The record is from RNAcentral.
GAUGAACGCUGGCGGCGUGCCUAAUACAUGCAAGUCGAGCGAACAGACGAGGAUCUUGCUCCUCUGACGUUAGCGGCGGACGGGUGAGUAACACGUGUAUAACCUACCUAUAAGACUGGGAUAACUUCGGGAAACCGGAGCUAAUACCGGAUAAUAUAUUGAACCGCAUGGUUCAAUAGUGAAAGACGGUUUUGCUGUCACUUAUAGAUGGAUCCGCGCCGCAUUAGCUAGUUGGUAAGGUAACGGCUUACCAAGGCAACGAUGCGUGGCCGACCUGAGAGGGUGGUCGGCCACACUGGAACUGAGACACGGUCCAGACUCCUAAGGGAGGCAGCAGUAGGGAAUCUUCCGCAAUGGGCGAAAGCCUGACGGAGCAACGCCGCGUGAGUGAUGAAGGUCUUCGGAUCGUAAAACUCUGUUAUUAGGGAAGAACAAAUGUGUAAGUAACUAUGCACGUCUUGACGGUACCUAAUCAGAAAGCCACGGCUAACUACGUG